RNAcentral lists this ribosomal RNA (598 nucleotides) under uncultured archaeon. Its description in RNAcentral is "bacterial SSU rRNA". It matches the Rfam family "Archaeal small subunit ribosomal RNA", at positions 852 to 1448 of the family's 1478-position model. The record is from RNAcentral.
AAACUUAAAGGAAUUGGCGGGGGAGCACACAAGGGGUGGAGGUUGCGGUUCAAUUGGAGUCAACGCCGGGAACCUCACCAGGGGCGACAGCAGGAUGAGGGCCAGGCUGACGACCUUGCCCGACGCGCUGAGAGGAGGUGCAUGGCCGUCGCCAGCUCGUGCCGUGAGGUGUCCGGUUAAGUCCGGCAACGAGCGAGACCCCCGCCCCUAGUUGCUACCGGGGCCCAACGGGCCUCGGGCACUCUAGGGGGACUGCCGGCGCUAAGCCGGAGGAAGGAGGGGGCUACGGCAGGUCAGUAUGCCCCGAAACCCCUGGGCUACACGCGACCUACAAUGGCGGGGACAGCGGGUUCCGACCCCGAAAGGGGAAGGCAAUCCCUGAAACCCCGCCAUAGUUGGGAUCGAGGGCUGCAACUCGCCCUCGUGAACCUGGAAUCCCUAGUAACCGCGCGUCAUCAUCGCGCGGUGAAUACGUCCCUGCUCCUUGCACACACCGCCCGUCGCUCCACCCGAGUUGAGCCUGGGUGAGGCCCGGCUCGGAGACGGGUCGGGUCGAACCUAGGCUCAGCGAGGGGGGAGAAGUCGUAACAAGGUAACC